This is a non-coding RNA of Phrynosoma platyrhinos (Desert horned lizard), 71 nucleotides long. The record is from the annotation of a GenBank genome assembly. Lineage: Eukaryota; Metazoa; Chordata; Lepidosauria; Squamata; Phrynosomatidae.
GCCAGAGUGGUAUAGUGGUUUGAACAUUGGACUAUGACUCUGGAGGUCAAGUUCGAUUCUCCACUCGGCCA